RNAcentral lists this transfer RNA (63 nucleotides) under Siphonosoma cumanense. RNAcentral's name for it is "tRNA-Phe". It matches the Rfam family "tRNA". From Rfam's summary of the family: Transfer RNA (tRNA) molecules are approximately 80 nucleotides in length. Their secondary structure includes four short double-helical elements and three loops (D, anti-codon, and T loops). Lineage: Eukaryota; Metazoa; Annelida; Sipuncula; Golfingiida; Sipunculidae. The record is from RNAcentral.
GUCUUUGUAGCUUAACUGUAAAGCAUGGCUUUGAAGCGGCCAAGAUAGGUUUCCUCGAAGACA